AAAAUGAAGUUACCCAGGAUGUAUUGCAAACCUUCUGCAGUUUUGUUCCUUGUCCUUCUACGAGUCGAGGUACAAAGCCAGACUGUUCAGGACACAAUCCCAGUGUUGGAGGGUAACUCCACCAGCGUACCCUGCGAACUUGACCUUGGUUCUUGCCGAGACCCUGACAAGUGCGUGUUAUGGAUCCACAAGGGACCCGGUGAUGACAGGUUCAAGGUUGGCAAAUGUUCGAGCGAGUGUGGAAGUUGUAAUCACUGUCCACACACACAGCCAGAACAAUGUACAGCCAUUUAUUUUGAAGACACCCAAAGGUCAUGUAUGGCCAUCUAUCAAUGUCAAUUCUAUGAAGAUACCACUCAGCCGUCAUCAUACAGGGUCAAACUGGAUG
Molecule: long non-coding RNA, 388 nt
Organism: Branchiostoma belcheri (Belcher's lancelet)
Lineage: Eukaryota; Metazoa; Chordata; Leptocardii; Amphioxiformes; Branchiostomatidae
Exons: 3
Source: RefSeq, a predicted model, not a curated record